This 289-nucleotide unclassified non-coding RNA is filed under the name uncultured Rubrobacterales bacterium. Its description in RNAcentral is "contains 16S-23S intergenic spacer region". Lineage: Bacteria; Bacillati; Actinomycetota; Rubrobacteria; Rubrobacterales. The record is from RNAcentral.
UCCGGUUUGUCACCGGCAGUCUGGUGUGAGUCCCCAACUUAAUGAUGGCAACACACCACGGGGGUUGCGCUCGUUGCGGGACUUAACCCAACAUCUCACGACACGAGCUGACGACAGCCAUGCAGCAUCUGUGGUGCACCCUCGAAGGUCACACAUUUCUGUGCGUUUGCAGCACCAUGUCAAGUCCAGGUAAGGUUCUUCGCGUUGCAUCGAAUUAAAGAACAUGCUCCGCUGCUUGACAUGCACGUGGUACCAACCUGUAAGGGAAGGGACCCGCAAGGGAGCGUGC